This 497-nucleotide ribosomal RNA is filed under the name uncultured bacterium. Its description in RNAcentral is "partial 16S ribosomal RNA". It matches the Rfam family "Bacterial small subunit ribosomal RNA", at positions 28 to 507 of the family's 1533-position model. The record is from RNAcentral.
GAUGAACGCUGGCGGCGUGCCUAAUACAUGCAAGUCGAGCGAACAGACGAGGAGCUUGCUCCUCUGACGUUAGCGGCGGACGGGUGAGUAACACGUGGAUAACCUACCUAUAAGACUGGGAUAACUUCGGGAAACCGGAGCUAAUACCGGAUAAUAUAUUGAACCUCAUGGUUCAAUAGUGAAAGACGGUUUUGCUGUCACUUAUAGAUGGAUCCGCGCCGCAUUAGCUAGUUGGUAAGGUAACGGCUUACCAAGGCAACGAUGCUUAGCCGACCUGAGAGGGUGAUCGGCCACACUGGAACUGAGACACGGUCCAGACUCCUACGGGAGGCAGCAGUAGGGAAUCUUACGCAAUGGGCGAAAGCCUGACGGAGCAACGCCGCGUGAGUGAUGAAGGUCUUCGGAUCGUAAAACUCUGUUAUUAGGGAAGAACAAAUGUGUAAGUAACUAUGCACGUCUUGACGGUACCUAAUCAGAAAGCCACGGCUAACUACGUG